Molecule: ribosomal RNA, 450 nt
Filed under: Osmia maxschwarzi
Lineage: Eukaryota; Metazoa; Arthropoda; Insecta; Hymenoptera; Megachilidae
Description: partial 12S ribosomal RNA
Source: RNAcentral
ACUAGGAUUAGAUACCCUAUUAUAUUAAUUUUAAUAAAACUUGAUUAUUAAAUGUAAAACAUUAAAAUUUUAAGAAAUGGCUGUCAUAUAAACUUUUAGGGGAACUUGUAUAUUAAUUUGAUGAUCCACGAUAAGAAAUACUAAUAAAAUAUAAUAUUACUUUUGUAUUGUUGUUUUAAGAUUCUAUAUUAAUAUUGUAAUUUAAAUUUUUGUUAUAAAAAAUAAUUCAAAUCAAAAUAAAGUAUUUAUUAGAUAAUAUGAGUUACAUUAAUUAAUAAUUAAUUUAAUUAAAAAUUUUAAUAUUUUUAAUAAAUUGGAUUUAAAAGUAAAAUUAAUUAUUAUAUUAAUUUGAAUUUUUAUUUAUAUGGAGUACAAAUUGCCCGUCAAUUUCAAUAAAGUUGAAAUAAGUCGUAACAUAGUAAGAAUAUUGGAAAAUGUUCUUAGAAUAAA